This is a long non-coding RNA of Hippocampus comes (tiger tail seahorse), 935 nucleotides long. RefSeq lists it as uncharacterized. The transcript has 2 exons. NCBI's taxonomy places the organism in Eukaryota, Metazoa, Chordata, Actinopteri, Syngnathiformes, Syngnathidae. The record is from RefSeq and is a predicted model, not a curated record.
ACAAAAGUCUUGAUAUUCAGGACUUAUUGGUCUAUUUUGCCCCCCCCCCCCAAGUCUCAGAUUUCGUGCUUAGCAGAACCUCACAACCCAAAUCUGUGUGACAUCGCUACAAUAUGUCAUGAUCAGCUACAUCGAUCACACCAUCUCGACUGUAAUCGCGUCGCUACAAAGAGGCGAGGCGCUGAUCCAAAAAGAAGAGAAGAAUACUUCAGGACAGAGAGCGAGAGCUGGCAGAAAAACAGGCAGACAGGAAAAAAAAAGAAUUGGGGACGUGGAAAUUAGUUCAAGAACGUAAUGUGCAGUCGGAAGGUUAUCCAGGUCAGAGAAGCUGGACUUACAAGAGCAGGCCUAAAUUGAUUUUGUAAAAUGAUGAUGUAAUAUGGUCCCAGAGAUAACUCCGUAGUUUUAUAUGGGUCAAAUAGGUUUCACAACCGUUGUGUCCCUCGAAGGAAUUCAUUUGUGAACGAUUGUGUUAUUUUCGGUGAACAUGUUGAAUAAGAACAUUGUUGAGACGCGCUGUCAUUAUUGAUCAUUCCACGCUGCUAGCGACGGAAAAAAAAAGCGUACUAACUUUGUGCAAUAUUCUGCAUGUUUUUAGGUUAAUUUGCAGAUCUGACAGGGAUUAACAGCAUUUAUGUUUGUUUUGAGCAUAAUAGCUACUCUUUUUUUGGAAAAAUUUGUUACAAAAUGAAACAUCGAACACACGUUCUACUGAACAUUUCUCAUUUAUUCAAAAAAGAACAAAAAAACGACAUCGUGAAAUGAGUGACACUUAAGGUAUUAUGGAAAUUAAGUAUGUUUACAUGUUUACGAAAUGAACACUUUGCAGUACACGUAUGCCCCUAACAGGGUGGAACUCUGUCACAAUUCCAUGUCUGAACAAUCCACCUAUAAUUAACAUUCUUAAAAUGCUUAUGUUCAAGUUAAAAAAAAAA